This 550-nucleotide ribosomal RNA is filed under the name Kurixalus silvaenaias. Its description in RNAcentral is "partial large subunit ribosomal RNA". It matches the Rfam family "Bacterial large subunit ribosomal RNA", at positions 1839 to 2610 of the family's 2925-position model. The record is from RNAcentral. Lineage: Eukaryota; Metazoa; Chordata; Amphibia; Anura; Rhacophoridae.
CCAUUCUUAGAGUCAGCCUGCCCAGUGAUAACAUUCAACGGCCGCAGUACCCUAACUGCGCGAAGGUAGCAUAAUCACUUGUUCUUUAAAUAGGGACUAGUAUCAACGGCAUCACGAGGGUUGCACUGUCUCCUUUGUCUAAUCAGUGAAACUGAUCUCCCCGUGAAAAAGCGGGGAUACACCUAUAAGACGAGAAGACCCCAUGGAGCUUUAAACCUACAGCAACUCAACCACAUAAUCCCACACAACCUUAGAGACAUGCCUGUUGGCUUUAGGUUGGGGUGACCGCGGAGUAAAAAUCAUCCUCCACAACACAAAGAUCUAAAUCUUUAUUCAAGAGCCACUACUCUAAAAAUUAGCAUACUAAUGUACACUGACCCGAUAAUCGACUAAUGAACCAAGUUACCCUGGGGAUAACAGCGCAAUCUAUUUCAAGAGUUCAUAUCGACAAAUAGGCUUACGACCUCGAUGUUGGAUCAGGGUACCCUAGUGGUGUAGCAGCUACUGAAGGUUCGUUUGUUCAACGAUUAAAACCCUACGUGAUCUGUUU